This 273-nucleotide ribosomal RNA is filed under the name uncultured bacterium. RNAcentral describes it as "partial 16S ribosomal RNA". It matches the Rfam family "Bacterial small subunit ribosomal RNA", at positions 524 to 796 of the family's 1533-position model. The record is from RNAcentral.
GACGUGGGGGGCGAGCGUUGUCCGGAAUUAUUGGGCGUAAAGGGCGUGUAGGCGGCCUGCCAAGUCGGCUGUGAAAUCCCCCGGCUCAACCGGGGGUCUGCAGUUGAAACUGGUGGGCUUGAGUGCAGGAGAGGAGGGUGGAAUUCCUGGUGUAGCGGUGAAAUGCGUAGAUAUCAGGAGGAACACCGGUGGCGAAGGCGACCUUCUGGCCUGUUACUGACGCUGAGGCGCGAAAGCUAGGGGAGCAAACAGGAUUAGAUACCCCCGUAGUCC